CCUACGGGUGCAGCAGUGGGGAAUAUUGGACAAUGGGCGAGAGCCUGAUCCAGCCAUGCCGCGUGUGUGAAGAAGGCCUUCGGGUUGUAAAGCACUUUCAGUGGGGAAGAAAGCCUUGGGGCUAAUACCCUCGAGGAAGGACAUCACCCACAGAAGAAGCACCGGCUAACUCCGUGCCAGCAGCCGCGGUAAUACGGAGGGUGCGAGCGUUAAUCGGAAUUACUGGGCGUAAAGCGCGCGUAGGCGGUCUGAUAAGCCGGUUGUGAAAGCCCCGGGCUCAACCUGGGAACGGCAUCCGGAACUGUCAGGCUAGAGUGCAGGAGAGGAAGGUAGAAUUCCCGGUGUAGCGGUGAAAUGCGUAGAGAUCGGGAGGAAUACCAGUGGCGAAGGCGGCCUUCUGGACUGACACUGACGCUGAGGUGCGAAAGCGUGGGUAGCAAACAGGAUUAGAUACCCCGGUAGUC
Molecule: ribosomal RNA, 464 nt
Filed under: Vreelandella stevensii
Lineage: Bacteria; Pseudomonadati; Pseudomonadota; Gammaproteobacteria; Oceanospirillales; Halomonadaceae
Description: partial 16S ribosomal RNA
Rfam family: Bacterial small subunit ribosomal RNA
Source: RNAcentral